RNAcentral lists this long non-coding RNA (772 nucleotides) under Setaria viridis. Its description in RNAcentral is "long non-coding RNA (SVIR_LNC010234)". The record is from RNAcentral. Lineage: Eukaryota; Viridiplantae; Streptophyta; Magnoliopsida; Poales; Poaceae.
GUGUGUGUAAAUGAACACAUGUAUUUCUUAAUAUUGUUUCCCUUGAGGUAGAUGAAAGGACAACGAACAACCAUACUACUUAACACCUUUAUUUGAGUAUUAUUCGUAUGCAUUUGUACACACAAAAAGCUGUGAUAUAAAAUUCAUUAUCCAUACAAUAUUAAUAUAUUUGUGUACAGCUACAACAAAUGGGUAUAAUCUAAAAUAUACGCAAUAAUUUCCAUACAUGUUUUAUUGAACAAUGCUACAAUUGAUCAACUACCUCCAUCUAGCUUUUUACUAGACCAGGUCAAGCAAAAUCAAAAUGUGCCUUGUAUUUCAGGACGGAGGAAGUACGAAAGAUGUGAACACCACUCGCAAAAGAAAAAAGAUGUGAACACCCUUCCUUUAGCUUCAGAUGAAGAGACAAGUACUAGUAGUGCUUCACCUUUUCAAUUCGACAUUAUUAUUAUAACAUUAUCUAGCAUUUACACACAUAGUUGUUUGCAUCUUUUAUUGAACAUUGAUUUGUGCACUCAACUACCCCAGCUAGAUUGUUCAUCAGCAGACAAGAUCGUCUGGCAAUAAAACACUUUAAUAUACUCAAAGUGUGUAGAUCGCACUGGGUCGAUCAAGCAGCCUCUUAAAUUUUGAGAAAGAGGGAUCGGUGUCGGUGUUUGGAUCCUUAGCUAAAGUUUAGUUCGUAUUACAUCGAAUCUUCGGAGGCUAAUUAGGAAGACUAAACAUGAGUUAAUUAUAAAACUAAUUACACAGAUGGAGGCUAAUUCGCGAG